Long non-coding RNA from Bos taurus (domestic cattle), 1389 nucleotides. NCBI's taxonomy places the organism in Eukaryota, Metazoa, Chordata, Mammalia, Artiodactyla, Bovidae. The record is from Ensembl.
CACUGAGGCAGGCCAGGCUGGCGGGGUGGGAAGGGAUACCAGGGGGCCAGCCCUUCAUCGGCCCUGCCAACGCUUUAUAAUCAGAACAGAUUUUAUACAAGAUGACUUGCGAAAAAGAGAAGCUGUUCAAAAGACAAAGGUUAGAAAACCAUCGAUCUAGUCCAAACCUGCUUUUACCACCACCAUUUGCAGAUGAAGAAACUGAGGGUUGUGCUUAGAUAUGUCUACACACACACACACACACACACACACACACAGAGGCUGCUCCCCAGUGCCAUCGCCUGUGGAAGAGCUGCUCCCAGCCCAGACCCCAGUUUCCACAGCCACCAGAGUCCUUUCUUCCAGAGUGGCCUGAGGCCCUGUGGUUGCCGAAGCUCCCGUGGGAGCCGGGCCAAUAACAGACAUUGGCAGUGUGGGAAGAGUGUGAAGGGUCGUCGGAGGCUGCGUUGCUAUUAGCCGAGUCUGGCUCCUUUGGGCCAGGCGGGGAGCCAACCGCCACUUGAGCUUUGUUUCUGUGGGAAAAUGAGCCCCAGAAUUCCAAACAACAGGCUGAUCAACGGACUCAAGCAUCUCUCCCCGCUUGGCAGCUAGAUCUGCGCUCCCUGUCCACCGAUGCCAAAUAGAAACAUGGAGACAGAAUUUGGAGGAAAUAGAAAGAUGGCUUACAGGCUUCCCUGGUGGCUCAGUGGUAAAGAAGCUGCCUGCAAGGCAGGAGACGUGGCUUUGAUCCCUGAUCCGGGAAUAUCCCACAUGCUGUGGAGCAACUAAGCCUGAGCACCACAGCUAUUGAGACUUUGCUCUAAAGCCCAGGAGCUGCAGCUACUGAGCCCAUGUGCCACUUCUGAAGCCUGCAUGCCCCAGAGCUUGUACUCCUCAACAAGACAAGCCACGGCAAUGAGAAGCCCGCACACCGCAACUAGAGAGCAGCCCCUGCUGUCUGCAACUCGAGAAAAGCCCGCGCAGCAACGAAGACCCUGCACAGCCAAUAAAUAAAUUAAUAAUAGCAACAAUAAAAGGAAGAUGGCUUAAUUCCGCUGCCAUGCAUGGGGAAAAGACACAGCAGGAUAGCAUCUCAAGGACUGUACCCCCUUCCUAGGAGAAUUGAGAGACGUUAUAUAGCCUGGAUUUCAUGGUUUUAGGGAGAUGCCUAAGAACUGCAGGAGGUCCUGAGUAGUCCUUUACGGGCCCCACCUGGGUGCAAGCCUCCAUCUGCUUCCCAGCAUCCUCAGCGAAUUGGCCGGGGAGGCGCUCACAGCCCGAGCACGGAGACAGGACCACUGGCCGCACGGUAAAUGGUUCUUGGAAACGUACCGGUGAGGCUGUGGUCUGUGUCAACCAUGCUGCUUAGUCAUACAUGUACAUGUCCUGACUCUAAAAUAUGAAUAUAUC